GAUCCCAUUUGUGGUCCGAUUUUCAAUAGCUAUGGUCAGUUGUGCAGGAACACUCACCUGGUAAAAUCUGAUAUUAAUAACAGCACACUGGAGCGGAACAACAAGGGGUCUCCACAAUACAAGGCUCAGAGGAGAAGAGAGCUUUUGGCGGACAUCAUGUCUAACAUCUUUGUGCUGACUCAUUCCUCUGUUCUCACCGGGAAGAUUAAAGGUUCCAUCCCGCCUGUGCUAUUGAUCCUCUUAGUGCCGCCGACACAAACUACACGCAGACGUUUGAUCCGAGACAGACAGAUGUGCUCGAGACUAAAAGUGAUGGAGAAUUCUUGCCUACCGAGUCCCUCUGAGGUUUGAGGACUAUGGAUCACUUUGCUGCUUUCAUAGCUUACCUUGGGCAACUUAUUUGAUAAUAAACAUGAUGUGAGGCUCUGGAAAUGAAA
This is a long non-coding RNA of Ctenopharyngodon idella (grass carp), 437 nucleotides long. RefSeq lists it as uncharacterized. The transcript is spliced from 3 exons. NCBI's taxonomy places the organism in Eukaryota, Metazoa, Chordata, Actinopteri, Cypriniformes, Xenocyprididae. The record is from RefSeq and is a predicted model, not a curated record.